CAGCAGCCGCGGUAAUACGUAGGUGGCAAGCGUUGUCCGGAAUUAUUGGGCGUAAAGGGCUCGCAGGCGGUUUCUUAAGUCUGAUGUGAAAGCCCCCGGCUCAACCGGGGAGGGUCAUUGGAAACUGGGAAACUUGAGUGCAGAAGAGGAGAGUGGAAUUCCACGUGUAGCGGUGAAAUGCGUAGAGAUGUGGAGGAACACCAGUGGCGAAGGCGACUCUCUGGUCUGUAACUGACGCUGAGGAGCGAAAGCGUGAGGAGCGAACAGGAUUAGAUACCCCCGUAGUCCCUGUCUCUUAUAC
This 301-nucleotide ribosomal RNA is filed under the name uncultured bacterium. RNAcentral's name for it is "partial 16S ribosomal RNA". It matches the Rfam family "Bacterial small subunit ribosomal RNA", at positions 509 to 807 of the family's 1533-position model. The record is from RNAcentral.